Molecule: ribosomal RNA, 254 nt
Filed under: uncultured bacterium
Lineage: Bacteria
Description: partial 16S ribosomal RNA
Rfam family: Bacterial small subunit ribosomal RNA
Source: RNAcentral
UACAGAGGGUGCAAGCGUUGUUCGGAAUUAUUGGGCGUAAAGAGCUCGUAGGCGGUGUGUCACGUCGGCCGUGAAAACCUGCAGCUUAACUGUGGGCGUGCGGUCGAUACGGGCAUCACUGGAGUUCGGCAGGGGAGACUGGAAUUCCUGGUGUAGCGGUGAAAUGCGCAGAUAUCAGGAGGAACACCGGUGGCGAAGGCGGGUCUCUGGGCCGAUACUGACGCUGAGGAGCGAAAGCGUGGGGAGCAAACAGG